AGCUCCAAUAGCGUAUAUUAAAGUUGUUGCAGUUAAAACGUUCGUAGUCGACCUUUUUCUUUUGGAUUGUCUGACCCAUUUGGAUCGGAUGGUUACGAAAGAUUUGUGGUUCAGGGCUUAAUAACUCUGAACUCAUACUUUGAGUGAAUCAGCAUGCUCCAAGUAGGCUUCGCCUUGUAUGAUCACCAUCGUCUAGAAACACUUUGGAACGGUUACCCCGCUUAGUAGCCGUUUCCAUACUGAUGAGAGCGGUUGAGGGCACUUGUAUCCGACUGCUAGAGGUGAAAUUCUUUGAUCAGUCGGAGACAAACUGUUGCGAAAGCAUUUGCCAAAGACGUUUCUU
RNAcentral lists this ribosomal RNA (343 nucleotides) under uncultured eukaryote. RNAcentral's name for it is "SSU rRNA". It matches the Rfam family "Eukaryotic small subunit ribosomal RNA", at positions 587 to 972 of the family's 1831-position model. The record is from RNAcentral.